Molecule: small nuclear RNA, 107 nt
Organism: Hippopotamus amphibius kiboko
Lineage: Eukaryota; Metazoa; Chordata; Mammalia; Artiodactyla; Hippopotamidae
Source: RefSeq, a predicted model, not a curated record
AUGCUCGCUUCAGCAGCACACAUACUAAAAUUGGAAUAAUACAGAGAAGAUUAGCAUGACCUCUGUGCAAGGAUAACACGCAAAUUCAUGAAGCAUUCCAUGUUUUU